UUAAAUUAUCACCAUCACCAGUGCAAGUUGAGUAAAUGUAUACACCCCAUCUAAGUACAGCUAAAAAACAACCAAGUGCUAUGAGAUGAAUUUAAAAUGGCAUUUGUAAUAAAUGCAUUAGAGGCUUCUUCGUUAGCCGCGCUCGUUUAAUGGAUCACCGUGUGUCUCCCUUUAAAGGCGUAACAUCAACUACCGUAAAACCCACAGUAUGUGCGCAAGCGCACUGGACUACCGUAUAUGACAGCAUUAACAAGUACAACACACACAAAUAUAUUUGUAAACAAUAACCGAUAUGGGACAAAGCACGACAUAUAUACAAGACAACAUAUUGAGACAUGAAUGGUCCAAAAGAGGCGAGUAAAUGAAAACGUGUCUUAGUCUUGCUAACUGCUUUACCGCGGUCAUUAGCGAGCUAACGCUAGCUUGAUCAUCUGGAUGACGAACGUGAGGCUCCUUACGUUCCUCACGUCAAAGCGGGACAACGUGGAGCUCCCGGGCCAGGUUACGUCGACUUUGCAUAUUUAGCCAUUGACACACGUUCAGUGCUGUCACGUGUCACACAUCGAGCGUGACAGUCACCCAUUUCGGUCUUUAGUGACGCACUCCGCCACACAUCCAAUUUCUCGCACACAAAAAAAGAAAAAUCGGACUUUGGUUCCUCUUCACCGCCCCCCAAUGCUCGCCCACCUUGGACGACUCCUCUACGUCGGCUCGGCGCUUUUAUUUUUUAUUUUUAGCUCCGCGACUCAUUGAGUGACGUAAUAAUUGCGCGACACAACAAAUCGAUAAUGAAAUUCGUUGACAACGCUUUUAAUAAUCGAAUUUUAUCGAUUUCUUCGAUUUAUUGUUGCAGCCCUAAAUCUAUUAACUUUUAAAAUGCGUUAACAGCAUUUUGUUUUUUGCAUUGCGAGGGGCUUAACGCUGCUGCACAUGUUAACCGAGAAUUGUCUCAUCACCGGAGUACUACGAGCCUGAUGUACCGUCCUUAGAGCGGCCUUCCUCAAGACGCCACGCCGGUAGGAGAAUAGUGGCUUUGAACGGAGCGGACGACAGGAGCGAAGGCGUUAAAACUGUUGCUCUCACUGGAGACUACUGGACAUUGGUGGGUACCCACAGUUAUCUUGAAGUUACAGUUCAUUAUUUUGAUGAACUGUCGGUGCUGCAUUCAGCUUUGAGUGUCUUGAAAACGGGACAUUUUGCCUAAACGUGUGCAGAACAUACUAUUCAUAUUGUACAGCAGUGGACCGUUUCCAAUAAAGUCUGCACACUUUACACACAGUACGAGAAAUAUGAUAUGAAAUAUGAUGACAUCUGCCGUUUGAACACAUCCCCUGCGUCACUCACACUCUUCAGCGCUCCGUCACAGUAUCUCUGCAGAACAGUGCAUUUGACAAUGUCCUGACCCAAUGCAGAAAAGUUGUGGGCCACUUCAAACACACUCCAGCAAGCGCUGCAGAAUUAGAACAGCAACAAAUUGAAUGUAGAUAAAAACUGAGUUGCUUGCACUAGACAUUCCAACCACAUGGAUUUCAACUCAGGACAUGAUGAAAAACAUGCAGAAAUGAACAGCCACUGAGGGAUGUCCUUGCACACACAACACCAAAAUCGCCACGGCAACUACAGUUGACAAAAUGCAGGGUUGGAGCCCUGCAGGUAUAUUUUUAAUGUAAUACAUUUUGACUGAAAUGGGUUUGAUUUUUUUGUGUUGCAGGUGUGUGACUGAACUCCUGUGAGGAGAAAAGAAUCAUGCUCUGUGGUUGUGUCUGCUUUUUGUCUCUCCCGGUGACAAAGAGCUUGGAUGAUGAACCUGCCUGCGUAGUCAACGUAAAGUCUACACUAUAAAAACACACCCUUAUGCACUCUAUUUCAGUUUGAUCAAAUUAACGUAUUUUCCUGCAAUAAAUCCUGCCAAAUAUAAAAACCUGACUGUUCCUGUCAGGCUAGGUGUAUAUCUAUGAACACGUCUCCUUAAAACAACUCAGCGAUGACAGCAAAGUAAGUGUUUUCAGUCUAGUGUCACAGCGUCUUCAGCUGGAAGCCAAACGCAGACUAUGCCAGGUAGAUUGUACCUUGUAGCACUUAAAUUGUACUUGUAACGUCACUCAUCUAUAGCAAAUUGUAAAUUGGCUUAUUUGAAGAAAUUAUACUUUCUUGUUUCUUGUUCUCCUGAGUUUGUACCUUAUGGUUGAAAUGCACUUAUUGUACGUCGCUUUGGAUAAAAGCGUCAGCUAAAUGACAUGUAAUGUAAUGUAGCUGGUGACAAGGUGAGUACUUAUUGGACAAGGGGGAGUGGUAUUUCCAACGUACAGACAGGUGAAUUCCGGUUGCCAGGCGGGCGUGACGGGAAUCCAGGCUAAAUGAUCAGAUAGACACAAAACCACUACGAAGAGUGAACAGAGAGUGAUUCGCUGUUGAGUCUGACACAUACGAGCACACAUACGAAUAUGGCCACCGAUCCGGCAGCGACUGGAUGUCAGGCCUCAGGAUCAGGACCGGAUGUGUUGAUCAGGUGGCAGCAGGCGCUGGUGAUCCUGGUUCUCCCGCGAAGACAAACAGGAAAACAGACUCGGGGAGCUGAGGUCGCGACCUCUGGCAUUUCAAAUGUACAGAAAGAUUAAGAACAAAAAAGCAUGUCAAAUUUAUGUUUCCUUCUUUUUUAUGGACCGUUUGUUAGGCAAAACGCACCCGUACUCAGCUUGUGUACGUAUUUAUAUAUAUAUAUAUAUAUAUAUAUAU
This is a long non-coding RNA of Gasterosteus aculeatus aculeatus (three-spined stickleback), 2736 nucleotides long. The record is from Ensembl. Lineage: Eukaryota; Metazoa; Chordata; Actinopteri; Perciformes; Gasterosteidae.